GGAUGAGCCCGCGGCCUAUCAGCUNGUUGGUGAGGUAGUGGCUCACCAAGGCNACAACGGGUAGCCGGCCUGAGAGGGCGACCGGCCACACUGGGACUGAGACACGGCCCANACUCCUACGGGAGGCAGCAGUGGGGAAUAUUGCGCAAUGGGCGAAAGCCUGACGCAGCAACGCCGCGUGCGGGAUGAAGGCCUUCGGGUUGUAAACCGCUUUCAGCAGGGAAGAAGCGAAAGUGACGGUACCUGCAGAAGAAGCACCGGCUAACUACGUGCCAGCAGCCGCGA
This 285-nucleotide ribosomal RNA is filed under the name uncultured Actinomycetales bacterium. Its description in RNAcentral is "partial 16S ribosomal RNA". It matches the Rfam family "Bacterial small subunit ribosomal RNA", at positions 223 to 520 of the family's 1533-position model. The record is from RNAcentral. Lineage: Bacteria; Bacillati; Actinomycetota; Actinomycetes; Actinomycetales.